UUUCCGUAGGUGAACCUGCGGAAGGAUCAUUAUUGUAUAACCGAGGUGCGAGGGCUGUCGCUGACCCGAAAGGUCGUGCACGCCCGAGUGCCCUCACACACAUCCAUCUCACCCCUAUGUGCACCACCGCGUGGGUCCCCCUUUGGCUUGUUCGGAGGGGGGCUUACGUCUUCACACAAACUCUGUAUGCAGUGUAGAAUGUAUUUUUUGUUUUUGCGAUCACGCAAUCAAUACAACUUUCAACAACGGAUCUCUUGGCUCUC
RNAcentral lists this unclassified non-coding RNA (263 nucleotides) under plant metagenome. RNAcentral describes it as "partial contains small subunit ribosomal RNA, internal transcribed spacer 1, and 5.8S ribosomal RNA". The record is from RNAcentral.